AACUUUCAGCAAUGGAUCACUUGGCUCUCGCAUCGAUGAAGAACGCAGCGAAAUGCGAUAAGUAAUGUGAAUUGCAGAAUUCAGGGAAUCAUCGAAUCUUUGAACGCACCUUGCGCUCCUUGGUAUUCCGAGGAGCAUGCCUGUUUGAGUGUCAUUAAAUUCUCAACCGUUAUUAAUUUAGCGGCUUGGAUGUGUGGCUUGCCGGCUUACGUCACCUCCCAUCUAAUGCAUUUGCCGGCGCCGUACGGGCGUCUACUUUGUUGUGAUACUUACCUACGCCGGACCACUCUGUCAUUUGAACUUCCGAUCACCGCGUACUCACGACAAAUAAUGACAAUUUGACCUCAAAUCAGGUAGGACUACCCGCUGAACUUAAGCAUAUCAAUAAGCGGAGGCU
This 397-nucleotide unclassified non-coding RNA is filed under the name uncultured Agaricales. Its description in RNAcentral is "sequence contains ITS2". The stretch from base 1 to 154 matches the Rfam family "5.8S ribosomal RNA". Lineage: Eukaryota; Fungi; Basidiomycota; Agaricomycetes; Agaricales. The record is from RNAcentral.